RNAcentral lists this ribosomal RNA (230 nucleotides) under uncultured bacterium. RNAcentral describes it as "partial 16S ribosomal RNA". It matches the Rfam family "Bacterial small subunit ribosomal RNA", at positions 87 to 334 of the family's 1533-position model. The record is from RNAcentral.
CGGGAUUAGUGGCGGACGGGUGAGUAACACGUGGGAACGUGCCCUUUGGUUCGGAACAACUCAGGGAAACUUGAGCUAAUACCGAAUGUGCCCUUCGGGGGAAAGAUUUAUCGCCAUUGGAGCGGCCCGCGUCUGAUUAGCUAGUUGGUGAGGUAAAGGCUCACCAAGGCUUCGAUCAGUAGCUGGUCUGAGAGGAUGAUCAGCCACACUGGGACUGAGACACGGCCCAG